Molecule: microRNA, 22 nt
Filed under: Callorhinchus milii (elephant shark)
Lineage: Eukaryota; Metazoa; Chordata; Chondrichthyes; Chimaeriformes; Callorhinchidae
Description: eshark_NOVEL_22
Source: RNAcentral
CUGAAAACUGAGAUGGCACAAC